This 433-nucleotide ribosomal RNA is filed under the name uncultured bacterium. RNAcentral describes it as "partial 16S ribosomal RNA". It matches the Rfam family "Bacterial small subunit ribosomal RNA", at positions 29 to 507 of the family's 1533-position model. The record is from RNAcentral.
AACGAACGCUGGCGGCAUGCCUAACACAUGCAAGUCGAGCGAGCCCUUCGGGUCCAGUGGCGCACGGGUGCGUAACGCGUGGGAACCGGCCCUUAGGUUCGGAAUAACUCUCCGAAAGGGGUGCCAAUACCGGACCAUGUCUUCGGACCAAAGAUUUAUCGCAUUUGGAUGGGCCAGCGUUGGAUUAGCUUGUUGGUAGGGUAAAAGCAUACUAAGGCGACGAUCCAUAGCUGGGCACAGAGGAUGAUCAGCCACACUGAGACUGAGACACGGCCGGGACUCCUACGGAAGGCAGCAGUGGGGAAUAUUGGACAGUGGGCGAAAGCCUGAUCCAGCAAGGCCGCGUGAGUGAUGAAGGCCUGAGGGUUGUAAAGCGCUUUUACCCGGGAUGAUAAUGACAGUACCGGGAGAAUAAGCUCCGGCUAACUCCGUG